GCACAAGCGGUGGAGUAUGUGGUUUUAAUUCGAUGCAACGCGAAGAACCUUACCUGGUCUUGACACUCCCGGACGACCCGUUAAGGAAACUAGGGGGUGCUUCCAUCUGGAAGAAUCUGGAGACAGGUGCUGCAUGGCUGUCGUCAGCUCGUGUCGUGAGAUGUUGGGUUAAGUCCCGCAACGAGCGCAACCCUGCAUUCAGUUGCCAUCGGUAAGGCCGGGCACUCUGGAUGGACUGCCGGCGACAAGCCGGAGGAAGGUGGGGACGACGUCAAGUCAUCAUGGCCCUUAUGUCCAGGGCGACACACGUGCUACAAUGGCCGGCACAACGGGAAGCGAGUUCGCGAGGACGAGCGGAUCCCUCAAAGCCGGUCGCAGUUCGGAUUGAAGUCUGCAACUCGACUUCAUGAAGCUGGAAUCGCUAGUAAUCGUGGAUCAGCCAAGCCGCGGUGAAUACGUUCCCGGGCCUU
RNAcentral lists this ribosomal RNA (470 nucleotides) under uncultured Synergistaceae bacterium. RNAcentral describes it as "bacterial SSU rRNA". It matches the Rfam family "Bacterial small subunit ribosomal RNA", at positions 923 to 1382 of the family's 1533-position model. Lineage: Bacteria; Thermotogati; Synergistota; Synergistia; Synergistales; Synergistaceae. The record is from RNAcentral.